AAACUCACCUGGCAAGGCAGUGAUACCAGGAGCACAAAAGUGGUUUUCCCUCGGCGAGGUCCAUCCACUCAGCUCCAGAUAGCUGAUCCCUGCUAUCUGUUUUUUCAAACACAAAAAUGCAACUGCAUGACCUGUGUGGCGGGGCUGUGCUUGCACGAUACCCUA
RNAcentral lists this small nuclear RNA (165 nucleotides) under Microtus ochrogaster (prairie vole). RNAcentral describes it as "U1 spliceosomal RNA (ENSMOCG00000004096.1)". The record is from RNAcentral. Lineage: Eukaryota; Metazoa; Chordata; Mammalia; Rodentia; Cricetidae.